Molecule: ribosomal RNA, 253 nt
Filed under: uncultured bacterium
Lineage: Bacteria
Description: partial 16S ribosomal RNA
Rfam family: Bacterial small subunit ribosomal RNA
Source: RNAcentral
UACGUAGGGGGCUAGCGUUGUCCGGAAUCAUUGGGCGUAAAGAGCGUGUAGGCGGUCCGGUAAGUCCGCUGUGAAAGUCGGGGGCUCAACCCUCGAAUGCCGGUGGAUACUGUCGGGCUAGAGUGCGGAAGAGGCGAGUGGAAUUCCUGGUGUAGCGGUGAAAUGCGCAGAUAUCAGGAGGAACACCCGUAGCGAAGGCGGCACUCUGGGCCGAUACUGACGCUGAGGAGCGAAAGCGUGGGGAGCGAACAGG